GCGAAGUUGCUGUUCUACUUCUACAGCAUGCUCAAGACAGAAGACAUGCAUUCGAGAAGAAUCUUCGUCCAUCCUUUGAACAAAUGGAAUAUCCACAUUCUCCAUUGGUAAGACAGCCAUGCUAAACCUCAUUUUCUCUAUGCCAUGAGCAGCACGAGAGUAAUUCGGAUUAACAUGAGAUGAUGUCAUUGGAUCUCUAAACUUAUCCUCCAAACCAUUGGAUCUUCUUGAAAUAAGAUUAUCAGUUUUAAACUCAAGAUCAGGGUCAAAUGUUUCAGGGCUUCCAUUCUUGAUGUCAAAUGGAGAUUCCUCCUCAGAAUCGAGCCUUGAUAAUGAAGGAUUACGACUUGUGUUCACAUCACUAGGAGAAAAACCGG
Molecule: long non-coding RNA, 377 nt
Filed under: Gossypium barbadense (sea-island cotton)
Lineage: Eukaryota; Viridiplantae; Streptophyta; Magnoliopsida; Malvales; Malvaceae
Description: long non-coding RNA (GBAR_LNC017590)
Source: RNAcentral